This 1042-nucleotide long non-coding RNA is filed under the name Astyanax mexicanus (Mexican tetra). Its description in RNAcentral is "lncRNA (ENSAMXG00005007115.1)". The record is from RNAcentral. Lineage: Eukaryota; Metazoa; Chordata; Actinopteri; Characiformes; Acestrorhamphidae.
GUCAUUUCCUGCUGUGUCUGUGGCCGGCUGGUGGCUGUGCUGGCGGACGGGCGGACAGGGAGCGGAGAGAGGAGCUGGAGAUACACCGCGUUUAUCUCCUCAAUACCCGCCUGAUAAACCCAGAUUUACCGCGGGGUAGAUCCACAACCCGAGCAAACGGAUAAGACAGUAUCUAAUGGAAGCCAUCACCGCCGGGACACCAUGGCUCUUCUCGAUGUCACAGGACUGCUGUGGUCAGAGCUGAGUGCUGUGAUUGUGUGUUUGCGGACAUCACGUUAUCUGCCUCUUUGAAGUCGACCCAUUAUCGUCCAGCCUCCACACACACACACACACACACACAACCAGCAGAAGCAUGGCGCCUGUGCCUCCUGGUAUCCGCUUCCUGGCAUCCUUUAACCGGGAGCAGUGUCGCGGCUCUGCUGUUGGGCGGUGUAAAGCAGAGGUUGGCCAGCGUGGCGAGAGGAGAGGAGGUGGAGAGGUGAGAUGAAGUGUGCUGAGGUUAGGCCGCUCUGUUCUUGGGCAGGGGUGAGUCUUUAGCGAGUGCUGGUUUGUUUGCUGAACACACAGACGAGACUGCGCUCACGCCGCAUGGAGAGUGGGUGAGAGAGACGACUCGUGUUUGCGUGGCAAGUUAAAUACCACAGAUAUUCCUUAUGCUGUCGCUAAUGUCACUGCUGUAUGUUGCCAUUACAGCACAGACGCCAGGCCAGAGAUGCACAUCGCUAAGCAGAUGACUAAUCCUGAACCGUCUGUUCACUGCGGAUUUCCCUUUCAGCCGCUGAGGGCCGACAUGAAAACAUAGAUCACAGCAAUGCGAUUAUUGAUUUAGAGAACACAGAAUUUAAUACUCUGCUCUCCUGAAAAGCCUGAAAAUCUGCUUUUAUUUUAGCAUGUUAUUCUGUUUCCUUAUUCAGUUUAUUGAAAUACCAGUACCAAAAAGUCAAAAGUUUGGUCACACCUCUUCUCAUUUAAUGUGUUUUCUUUCUUUUUAUGAUUUUUGUUCAUUGUAAAUUCUAAAUUAUUCUGUAAGCUGUCAGGUUUA